Long non-coding RNA from Lycium barbarum (goji berry), 2364 nucleotides. RefSeq lists it as uncharacterized. The record is from RefSeq and is a predicted model, not a curated record. The transcript is spliced from 2 exons. NCBI's taxonomy places the organism in Eukaryota, Viridiplantae, Streptophyta, Magnoliopsida, Solanales, Solanaceae.
UGUUCCCAAUAGCUAUCAUAGAUUAAGUUCGACCAUAUUGGUAGUGCAAUAAUGUUUAUUGAAGUUGGAAAUCAUUGUACAUAUUAUGUGUAAAGUAACAGUUGGGAUCUCACAACUUUAUCUGAUAUCAUGUUCAAAAUGGUUUGAUUGAAUCUCUUGUUUCUGAUGGAAUGGAGACUGUAUUAAUAAAUCUUGUAGUUAUGAGUAACAUUGUCCGAUUAUAUUCUAAAUAUUUCGCGGAUCAUGCAAUAUUAAGUUAAGAACUUGGGCAAAUUUGCUUGGCAUAAUUCGUGAAAUAUGUUGGAUAUACAUCAGACGAGUGUUGCUCGUAAGCUAUGAGAUUUCUCAAGAAGGUCUUCCUUGCAUCAGUUGGUAGCAAGAUAUUUCCAUCAAUCCAUUGUCGAACUUGAUAUUGAAUAAACUUGUAUGACCUCAACAGUUUCCUUUCUGACUGCCCUUUCAUUUGGUUUGUGAUCUUAGUAGCUCAGUUGUUUCACUACCUAAAUUUUCACGUUUGAUUUCCCACCUUGUAAUUCCCUUCCCCUAUGUAAUUAAAUUAUAUAUAUAUAUAUAUAUAUAUAUAUAUAUAUAUAUAUAUAUAUAUAUUUUGUUUUGGUUUGUGAUCGGUUUCUCUACUACAGCUCUGUGCUGUUGCCACUUGCCGGUGAGCUUUCCUCCGUAUUUUAUAUUCCUUCUUUUUGUUGUGGUCUUUAAUGAUGUGAGAUUUGCUUUAUUUUGGUUUUUCCCAUCCUCUGAUGAUUGGUGUUAUAUGGAGUUUUGUGUUAGGGUGAAAUGCUAUAUUGCUCUGUUGCUUCCUGUUGGGUGUCAGUUUUCUAUUUUGCUUUUUCUCUGCGUGUUUAGAGCAUGUUUGGAUUGGCUUAUUAUAAGUGCUUUUAAGCCAAAAAAAAAUUGCUUUCAAGCACUUUUGUAGUGUUCGGGUAAGAUAAAAAAGUAUUUUUAAGCUCAAAUAAGCCAAAAGCCAUAAGUUAUAAGCCCAUCCAAACAGGCUCUUAGUUUCUUGUAUGUCUAAUUGCGCAUCUUGUCUAUAUCAUUCUCGUUCUUUGGUCAUUUGUUUGGUUUUUCUAGCAAAAUUGCAACAGAUAGUAGAAAAGCAUAAGAAGCAUUCCAAAGGUAUACUUUCUUAGUUGAUUUUGCAAAAUACUCUGCUUCAUGGAUUUAUUGGAGAGGAGAAUAUUGAUAAAGCUUUAGACUUAUUUAAUUGAAUGGGAGAUCAAGGACUGUACUCGGUGUGAUAACGUACUAUACCUAACUGAAUGGUUUAUGUGUGUUUGAUAAAAUGCUGGAAGCUAAUAUACUUUACAGUGAAAAGGUUGAAAGGGGGUAUUCACCCUAACAGAUCCACAUAUACAUCAUUGAUUAAUGGACGCGUCUCUCUGGAUAACUUAAAGGAGGCUUUUUGCGUCCCUGAUGAAUGAUGUUAAGCUUUAGUCUCUUUGCUAUUCGAGCCAAUAAAAUUUAGGUAUUCAUCAACUUCUUGAAUUUCAGGAGUUUUGAUUUCCUUUUCGCAGUAUCCAUUCUUGAUGUACAAUAAAGAGAGACCUGAGACAAGGGUGACCCUCUGUCCCCUUUUUUGUUUAUCAUUGCAAUGGAAGGUCUUAAUGAUAUGCUGAAGACUGCUCAAACAAACAGCUGGAUAAAGGGCUUCAACGUUUCUACCAGGUCUGGUGAUAACUUGGAAAUAUAUCAUCUACAUUACGCAGACGACACUCUGAUAUUCUGUGAUGCGGAUAUUGAACAAUUGAAAAUUCUGAGGGUAAUAUUCAUUUUGUUCGAGGCUAUUUCUGGGUUACACAUCAAUUGGAAUAAGAGUUUCUUAUAUCCUGUUAAUGAGGUAACGAAUAUAAAUAUGUUGUCUGGAAUACUUGGAGGAAAAGUUGGUGAGCUUCCCACAAUAUACAUGGGCAUGCCACUGGGAGCAAAAAGCAAGUCCAAGGAACUAUGGAAUACUGUCUUGGAAAAAUGUGAAAAGAAGCUGGUGAAUUGGAAGAGUCAAUACCUCUCUUUGGGAGGUAGAUUGACUUUAAUAAAUAGCGUGUUAGAUGCUUUGCUAUAGGAUGUCUAUUUUUCCAGUUCCCAUAAGUGUAGUGAAAAGAAUGGACGCUUGUGUUGCUUGGACUCUUCACUUUCGGUGCAGCACCCAUGUCGACACGACAUGGGUGUGGCUGUUUGAUCCGUACUCAAUUUGGUCAACCAAUUUUGAGUACUUUGAUCAAAAUCGAAGGAGAAAUUUUGGAUAGAUUCAAUGAUUUAUGUUAAUCAAAACAAAAGCUAUGGUGAAAUUGAAGAAAACCGAAUAACUUGUAUAUAGAAAUUUCUAUGUCACUUCUUUUCCUUUUAUCCUCA